RNAcentral lists this long non-coding RNA (5959 nucleotides) under Vitis vinifera (wine grape). RNAcentral's name for it is "long non-coding RNA (VVIN_LNC006882)". Lineage: Eukaryota; Viridiplantae; Streptophyta; Magnoliopsida; Vitales; Vitaceae. The record is from RNAcentral.
UGUAUUUCUUUUUUAGUUAAUGGAUAUAUAAAGGGAAAAAAUAUGGUAUUUCCUAAUAUUGUAGUUUUGACACCUUCAUCAUUUACUUGAAAAGGAUAGAGUAAGGUAAUAAAAGGAGUUCCUAAUAUUAAAGGUUCACUCAUAUUUUGUACUAAUAUAAAUUGAGUUCUAAAACAAUAAUUAUCUUGACAUAUAUGAACAUUUUGAAGUUUAUAUUCUAUUUCUAAUUUUCCUUUAUUUGCAGCAAAAAGUUCUUGUCCUGUUUUUUCAUAAUAUUUAGUAGGAAUUAUUCCUUCUUGAAUACAAUUCAUAUCAGCUCCUGAGUCUAUUAGUGCUACUAUUUCUAUUUCAAAAUCUUCAACUAUAAGUUUUACAUUUGUAUACCAUAUUUGAAAAUCUAUUUUUGAUAUUGUAUUUAUAAAUGAUUCUAUAGGAGUUAUUUUAUUAGGUAUUAUUAUUCCUGGUUCUUGGUUUUCAGAAGUUUCAUCUAAAUCUUGUUUAUAUUGUAUUACGUUUCUAAUUUGUUCAUUCUCUUGUUUUAUUUGAUCAUUUUCUUGUUUUAUUAUUUCAUUUUCUAAUUUUAUUUUUUCAUUAUCUAAUUUUAAUUGAUUUAUUUGACUUUUUAUUUCUUUUAUUUCUUCUUCUAAGUCUUUAAUGGUUAUUGGCCUUUGAGUCUUUUUGAAUCUAUUAUAAAUUUCAUCCAUUGAGUAUUGAUUAGGUUUGAUGUCUUGAGUUUUAUUUGGAUUUUCAGUGAGAAUUAAAUUUUUAAAAUUUUUUAAAUAAUUUCUUUGUAUUUCUUCAUCUUGAAUUUUGUCUAUAACAUCAAAAAAUAUUUGCUUAUCUACUUUUGAAGAUAUUACAUUUAUCUUUUUGAUUUGAUUUUCUACUUUUGAUGUUUCAUUAAUUUCUCUUGGAUUUUCUAUUUUUGUUGUUGUUGAUGUUUCUAUUAAUGUUUUUGUUUUUGUUUUUGUUUUUGUUUCCUCCACCUCUCCCGGGGCAGAAGAAAACAAAAUUUGAUUAAAUUUUGUUUCACUUGAUUCUUGUUUUGAUUCUAUUUUUGUUUCCUCCACCUCUCCCGAGGCAGAAGAAAACAAAAUUUGAUUAAAUUUUGUUUCACUUGAUUCUUGUUUUGAUUCUUUACUUGACUCUUCUGGAUUUAUUUUUUGUUGUUCUAACAAUUUUUUAUUAUGUGGAGAAUUUUCUAUUGCUUUUCUUGAAGUUAAUGUUGCAAUUCUUUUAAGGGGUUUCCUAUAUUUAAAAAACCAAAGGAAAAAAGUAAUAGUCAUCUUAACUUGUUGCAUAUAUUUUUCAUAUUGUUUUCUUAAUGCAUUUCUAACUUGAGGAGGAAGUUGUUGAAAAUAAUUUCUUUUUGCAGUAUUUUCAGGAGAAAAAUAAUUUGCUUUAAUUAACUCUACUUCAGGAACAAAAGGAUUUCUUUUAAUGUAUCUUUUUCUAAUGAUAUUUAUGUUUAAAGGAGGUUUAUCAUGAGAGAAAAAUUUUAACUCAGACUCUUCUUCAAAAAGAGAAAUUUCAGGAACAAAGUUUGAACUAUUUUUUAGUUGAUUUUCUAUUUGAUCUAAUUCUUCAUUAAAUUUUGAAUUAUUAAAUUUUAUAUGAUGACUCCAUGAUGAUGCAGCUAAUGAUGCAGCAGGUAGUGAUGCAGAUGAUGAUGCAUUUGAACAUCUCAUUAUCUUAUAUGAAAAACUUUCUAAAUUAUAUGCAGAAUUAUUUAAUGCAGAUGCAGAACUAUCAUGGGACCUAAGAGAUCUGGAAGAACUAUUUCUACUUAAUUCCCUAAUAAUAUUACUCAUUGUCACAGAAAAUAAUUACAAUUUUAUCCUUAAUCAAUUCAGAUAAUUUCCUGAGCAGGGACCACCACAAGCAAAUCAACACGGGACAUACGCUCCUUCUGCCAUUAAACACCGCUUAUCAUAGGCUGACCAAUCCGUUCACAGGAAAUUCAACCCGAACUAAGUCAGGACUAAAUCUGCGAUUAGUUACUGUUCCAACUCGUAACACCACUCGGUUCUCAAGCAAAAAAUGGCUCUGAUACCAUUUGCACCCAGGACAUACAAUAGUUCGUGCACGCAAUAAUUAAUUCUGUCUAAUUAUCUCCAAGCAUAAAAACUGAAAUAUUUAAUGUCUAAUUCUUGCUAAUUUAUUGCAGAAAAUUUAAGCAUAAUAACACAAAUAUUUGAAUCUGAAAAUAUUGUUUAUUGAAAAUAUACCUUGAUUACAGAGAGUUGAUGACUACAGGUUGUUGACAGCAGAGGAAUGACUCUAACUCAAAGAAGAAAAUUACAAGGAAAAUUUUUGAACUCUCAGAAAUUUUGAACUCUCUAAUUUUUUCUACUCUUGAAACUAUCUCUCUUGAAACCUUCCCAAGCUGUCUCUUAGCUGUUGGAGCUCUGCCUGAUGAAGCCAUUUGCAGUUCUAUUUAUAGGAGAGGAUUCGGACUUCAAAUGAAUCUUCAAUCUUGAAAGUUUUUGAAUUCUAUCAUAUGUAGGCCAGGUGGAGCAUUCUGCAGAAGAAAGAGUGAGAGAAGAAAGAGAAGAUAUAUUCUCUUUUUUCCCAAGGUUUCCACGUUGCCUUCUCAUGUUAAAGUGGGAGACAAAUCCCACUAUUCACGUCCUUGCAUUAUUCAUGACUUAAAAAUGUUUUUUUUUUUUUUUUUACUGGAUAGAUACAAAGAGAAGAUUAUACAGAUGUACAAAAGAUUUUUGAAAUCUUUUAUGUAGACUGACCCAUAGGUCCUCCGUAAAGGAUAAACUCAGGGUCUACGUAUGAAUCAUCUGAUAAAAUUGCAUCCUCAGUUUCUUCAUUUUCUUGAUCUCCAAACUGCUUGAGGGUUUGAAUGAGUCCUUGACGAUAUUGGUCUAAAUCAGUGGCUGCUGCUAAUGAAGCUUGACAUUUGCUUUUCAAAGUUAGGAAUUCUUCUUGAGUUGGUCCUUGAGAAGAUCUUGAUGAAUCCUUUGAAUUUGACGAUCCAGGUCUUGUUGAAAUUAAUUGCAAAACCUUCUGUUGACAUACAAAAUCAUGAUUGAAUUUGUCCCACCAUUUGAUGCUGAAUUCUCUAGAAAGAGAUAAUGGAAAAGGAAGAGGUUGCUCUUGCUUCUUGAUGAUGUUCCAUGUGAGAAUCCAUGGAAUUCUUAAUUUCGAACAGAACGUCAGGAGUCUAGGCUGAGUGAUAUUCUGUGAUGAAGUCUUGCUCUUGUAGAAGUUGAAUUUCUCUUGAAUAUCCAUAGGAAAUAUUGAAUCUAGUAGACCAAAGAAAGUCCACCAUUUUUUAAACCGAGCAGGAAAUUUGGUAUUGCAAUUUCUUGAAAAUUGGAUGAACCAAGAAUGCUGGUAGCUUUGCAAGUAAAACAUAUUGUACCAAGCAUCCAUGUAAUCUAUGUAAUUGUAGCUCAUGGGAUGGAAAGGUUGACUAAAAGCCUUGCAAGUGAAGGGUUUUUUAUUCCAGUCUGCAAUGGUCAUGACUCUGAGAAUUUGACAUUUGGAAAAAGCAAUCCUCUGAGGAUUGUUUUUGUCAGUGUUAUGAGUAAUUUCAACUGAAUCAGUGUCCACCAAGAUGAACUCAUAGAAUUGACGAGUUUUCAAAGGAUCAUUUGAAUUGAAGUUGACUCCUUGAGGAAAGAUGUAAGGAAGAAUUUUAGGAAUCUCUUCAAAAAUGAACUCUGGCUCAAUGAAAGCAAUUUCUAAGGUUUUGGGUUUUUUGACAUAUUGACUAUAAGAAUAUGAAGGAGAAGGAGACUGAGAAGGAGAAGGUAAUGUUGAAAUAGUGUUAGGACUGGAUUGUUUCUGAACAACAAUAUUUUUAGGAGUUGAUUUAGAAGCUUGAAUAAAACUUUUUGAAGGUUGAAGAGGAGGAAAAUCUGGACUCAAAACUUGAAAGGAAUUUGAUGUUUGCAAAGGAAAAGUAGGACGAACAUUUGAAAAGUUUGAAAUCAUAGCAUAUGAAGCUUUGGUUUUCUUGGAUGAUGAAGGAAGUUGAGGCCUAACGGGAAUACCCAUUAGGAUGGAAAGGAUCCUUACCCUGCAAAAACUCCCGAGUAAGGAAGUUAGGAAGGGAAUUCAACUCUCCUUUGAUAAAUUCGAUUUCAAAAUCAAAGUUCGAAAUUAAAGCUUGCCAUCUUGCGAAAAUUUGUUUUGAAACCAAAUUUUUAACAUCUUUUUGUAAAAUAUCUUUUGCAGCUUUGCAAUUGAUUUUCAAAAGAAAUUUCUUGUUUAUCAAAUCACUUUGAAAUUUUGAAAUACACAAAACUAUUGAUAAAACUUCUUUUUUGACAGUUGAAUAAUUUAUUUGAGCGCCCAACCAGAUCCCUGAAUGAUAUCUAACUAUAUGCACUUGAUUAUUAUAUUCUUGCUUUAAUAUGCCUCCAUAACCUAAAUUAGAUGCAUCUGAUUCUACAAUGAGCAAUGCAUUUGGAUGAGGGAUGCUGAUGCAUGGUAAACGUUUGACUCUUUGUUUAAUUUCUUUGACCAAACUAGUAUGAUGCUCAGUCCAUGCAGGUGCAUUUUUUCUCAGUCUUUUGUAUAAUGGUUCACAAAUGAUUCUCAAAUCUUUGAAGUAAUUAGAAACAUAAUUUAAACAACCUAAAAAUCUUUGCAAUUGUUUUUUUAUCUUUUAUUUCAUCAGGAAAUUUGUCAGCAAAUUCUAUUGAUCUUUGAAUCGGUUUUGUUUUUCCUUGAAAAAUUUCAUGACCUAAAAAUCUGAUUUUUGUUUGAAACAAUUUCAUUUUUGGGGCAGAACAAGCCAUUCCAUUUGCUUUAUUGACAUUAAAAAACUUUUUCAGAUGAAUAAAAUGUUUUCCUAAUGAAUCAGAAAAUACUAAAACAUGAUCAAUAUAUACAAUGAUGAACUGAAAAUGAGGAUUAAAAAUAUCAUUCAUAAUAUUUUAAAAUUCAGAAGGGGCAUUUUUGAGACCAAAAGGCAUGACAUUCCAUUCAUAAUGACCAAAAGGGAUAGUAAAAGCAGUUUUGUACCUAUCUUUUUCUUUAAUUUGAACUUGCCAGAAUCCUGAUUUCAUAUCAAAUUUUGAAUAAAUUACAGAACUAUGAAGUCUUUUGAGUAAAUCUUGCUUAUUAGGAAUAGGGUAUCUUAUCCAUUGUAAUACUUUAUUUAAAGGUUUAUAAUUAAUGACUAAUCUAGGUGCUCCUCUUUCUAUCUCAGCAGCAUUUUGAACAUAAAAAGCGGCACAACUCCAAGGAGAUUUUGAGGGUCUGAUUAAUUUCUUCUUUAAUAAUGAAUCAAUUUCUUGUUCACAAUAUUCUAAAAGCUUUUCAUUCAUUUGAAUAGGCCUAGCCUUAGUGGGAAUUUUGGAUUCAUCAAAAUUUUGAAUGUAAGGCAAACUUAUCUCAUGUUUCUUUCUUGACCAAAAAGCAUUAGGAAGAUCAGAACAAAUUUCAUUUUGAAAAAGAUAUUGAAUCUCUUUUAUUUUCUUUUUAACUUUGUCUUCUAAAAGUUGUUCAUCUACUUUUUUAUAUUGAAUUUCUUUUGAUAGAUAAUUUAUAUGAGCUUUCUUUCUUUGAAUUAAAUUUAUAUUCUUAUUUAUUGAAUCACUUUGAACUUGAUGUAUUUCUUUUUUAGUUAAUGGAUAUAUAAAAGGAAAAAAUAUGGUAUUUCCUAAUAUUGUAGUUUUGACACCUUCAUCAUUUACUUGAAAAGGAUAGAGUAAGGUAAUAAAAGGAGUUCCUAAUAUUAAAGGUUCACUCAUAUUUUGUACUAAUAUAAAUUGAGUUCUAAAACAAUAAUUAUCUUGACAUAUAUGAACAUUUUGAAGUUUAUAUUCUAUUUCUAAUUUUCCUUUAUUUGCAGCAAAAAGUUCUUGUCCUGUUUUUUCAUAAUAUUUAGUAGGAAUUAUUCCUUCUUGAAUACAAUUCAUAUCAGCUCCUGAGUCUAUUAAUGCUACUAUUUCUAUUUCAAAAUCUUCAACUAUAAGUUUUACAUUUGUAUACC